GACAAACAGAAAAUUUUAAUCCAUAUUAAUAGAAUAAAUCAAUGAAGCUUUUGUUUUCCCAAUUAUAUCAGAUACAUAAAAUGCCUUUAUUCUCAUAAACCAAACAUGCCAUAAAGGUUUCCCUGGCUGACUACAGUGACUCCAUUAAAUAUACUGAGUAUACCAUUUAACUUGCAAUAGAUUUUAGUUUCCCAAAACCAUCACUUUCCCAUAAUGCUAAAUAAUUUUAUCUUCCCAUUCCAUUAAAUAAAUCCCUUGUAUUACUUUCAGUAUCAUCCCUAACAUAUCCCACUCAUUCACUUUCCUCUACAGUCAUUUCCUGCCUGAAAUUCUUCCUUUUUCUUUGCUCAUUGAGCUACCAGUCUAAAAGGUAGCCUGCUUCACCCAUUGAUGCAUGGGCUUAAAUCCAGGAUUGGAAACACAGUGGCUCCAUCCUGAAAUUCUGAACAUAAGACUCCAUGAGAACAAUUUCACUGGAAUUCGUCCACAUACAAAAUUACCAAUCAGAACCUAUCUUGAAUCCUGGCCAUUAGCUGCCUCAAACAAUUCCCUAAAAGAUAUAAUGACAGGAAUAAAAUCACAAAACCACACUGUUCACAAACUGCAAAAUAACAGAUCUCCAGGAUCUUUGUUCAGACCAUUACAGAUGGGGGACAGUUGCUAAAAACAUCUAGACCGGCAAAUUGACAGGUUAAAAUUGGACUCUUCAUGAGUCUUAAUGCUGAUAUUCUACUUUCAUGUCAAUUAGACAAGUUUCUUACUCUGGUGGCAUG
Molecule: unclassified non-coding RNA, 773 nt
Filed under: Hevea brasiliensis (rubber tree)
Lineage: Eukaryota; Viridiplantae; Streptophyta; Magnoliopsida; Malpighiales; Euphorbiaceae
Source: RNAcentral